UCCACCUCUCCCAUGCUAUCCUUCUUACUGAUAAGGGGAGGGAUUAGCCCAGGACCAUCUCCCUCUCUUAGGACUCCAGGACAAAGACUGGGAGUCAGAAGGAAGUCCAGAUCAGCCACACUUCUCCCCACAGCAUCUCCAGCACCAAGAGCAGAAGGACCCCUGGAGAGCUGGGUUUCGUCCUAUUUCUGCAGACACAUGAUGGGAGGCGGAGUAGGAGAGGUGACAACCGCAGAGAUCAAAUCAAGAGUGUGAAGCCACAGAGAGCAAAGCCAUGGGGAUGGAGCAAUCUCUGAGCAGCUGGGAAGAAAAGGAGGAAAGCCAUUAACUGGGGAUCAAGGAGAGGGAGUCGGAAGCUGCAUGAAGGUAGUACAGCACAGGAAGGAAAAAAAAAAAGAA
This is a long non-coding RNA of Tympanuchus pallidicinctus (lesser prairie-chicken), 399 nucleotides long. RefSeq lists it as uncharacterized. Lineage: Eukaryota; Metazoa; Chordata; Aves; Galliformes; Phasianidae. The record is from RefSeq and is a predicted model, not a curated record. The transcript is spliced from 2 exons.